GCCCCCGUAGCUCAGGGGAUAGAGCGCCGGCCUCCGGAGCCGGGUGCGUGAGUUCGAAUCUCGCCGGGGGCA
Molecule: transfer RNA, 72 nt
Filed under: Acidimicrobiales bacterium
Lineage: Bacteria; Bacillati; Actinomycetota; Acidimicrobiia; Acidimicrobiales
Also listed under: 1 other name
Description: tRNA-Arg
Rfam family: tRNA
About the family: Transfer RNA (tRNA) molecules are approximately 80 nucleotides in length. Their secondary structure includes four short double-helical elements and three loops (D, anti-codon, and T loops).
Source: RNAcentral